RNAcentral lists this ribosomal RNA (497 nucleotides) under uncultured bacterium. RNAcentral describes it as "partial 16S ribosomal RNA". It matches the Rfam family "Bacterial small subunit ribosomal RNA", at positions 28 to 507 of the family's 1533-position model. The record is from RNAcentral.
GAUGAACGCUGGCGGCGUGCCUUAUACAUGCAAGUCGAACGAUCAGACGCCUUGCUUGCUCCUCUGAUGUUAGCCGCGGAAGUGUGACAAACACAUGGAUAACCUCCUUAUAAGACAGGGAUAACAACCGUAAACAAGAGCUAAUACCGGAUAAUAUAUUAAACCGGAUGGUUCAAUAGUUUACGCGGGCUGUGCUGUCAAUGAUAGAUGGAUUCGCGGCAGAUUAGCUAGUUGGUAAGGUAACGGCUUACCAAGGCAACGAUGUGUAGCAGGCCUGAGAGGGUGAUCGGCCACACUGGGACUGAGACACGGUCCAGACUCCUACGGGAGGCAGCAGUGGGGAAUUUUGGGCAAUGGGCGCAAGCCUGAUCCAGCAAUGCCGCGUGAAUGAUGAAGGUCUUCGGAUCGUAAAAUGCUGUUAUACGGAACGAAAAGCUUUGUAAUAAUCUAUGCGGGUCUUGACGGUACCGAAAGAAUAAGCACCGGCUAACUACGUG